Molecule: long non-coding RNA, 380 nt
Organism: Haliotis rufescens (red abalone)
Lineage: Eukaryota; Metazoa; Mollusca; Gastropoda; Lepetellida; Haliotidae
Exons: 2
Source: RefSeq, a predicted model, not a curated record
UUAUGUGGGAGUGCAUCGUGAGAUAAGAGUUCAGAUAACACUCACACAAGCAUGGCGUUUUCAAGCACACAUGGAGCUGUUCUUGUGUAUAUGUGUAUGACACUGUAUUUUUGCCUGGUUGCAACUUCCACCCUAUACGUGAUGCACUCUGUAAGGCACUCAAUGGGAACUGUGUAGACAGUCGACUGGUCAGAUGUGCCGAUCUGGACUUCAAGAUAUGUGGGUCUGAACCGUUUGCUGCUUGCUGCCCUGGAAUAAUGAUUGGCUAGCCGGUUAUCUCAGAAGCAUCAUCCGGAUCAUCCGCCUAGUUAUCAUCAGCCUGAAGGCCAUGUUUAUAAUGAUGAUAAUGCCUGUACUUAUAAAUAAAAUAUACACUCUUC